This 903-nucleotide ribosomal RNA is filed under the name Ogataea rishiriensis. RNAcentral describes it as "LSU rRNA". It matches the Rfam family "Eukaryotic large subunit ribosomal RNA", at positions 38 to 964 of the family's 3401-position model. Lineage: Eukaryota; Fungi; Ascomycota; Pichiomycetes; Pichiales; Pichiaceae. The record is from RNAcentral.
GCAUAUCAAUAAGCGGAGGAAAAGAAACCAACAGGGAUUGCCUCAGUAACGGCGAGUGAAGCGGCAAGAGCUCAAAUUUGAAAUCUAGUACCUUCGGUGCUCGAGUUGUAAUUUGAAGAAGGCUAUCUUGGAUUUGGCCUUUAUCUAUGUUCCUUGGAACAGGACGUCACAGAGGGUGAGAAUCCCGUGCGAUGAGGUGUCCAUUUCUAUGUAAGAUGCUUUCGAAGAGUCGAGUUGUUUGGGAAUGCAGCUCUAAGUGGGUGGUAAAUUCCAUCUAAAGCUAAAUAUUGGCGAGAGACCGAUAGCGAACAAGUACAGUGAUGGAAAGAUGAAAAGAACUUUGAAAAGAGAGUGAAAAAGUACGUGAAAUUGUUGAAAGGGAAGGGUAUUAGAUCAGACUUGGUAUUUAGUUAUCAUUGCUCCUUGUGGGUGGUGCUCUAGCUUUUUACUGGGCCAACAUCAGUUUUGGUGGCAAGAUAAUGACAUUUGAAUGUGGCUCCUCGGAGUGUUAUAGCUUUUGUUGAUAUUGCCUACCGGGACUGAGGUCUGCGGCUUUGCCUAGGAUGUUGGCGUAAUGAUCCAAUACCGCCCGUCUUGAAACAUGGACCAAGGAGUCUAACGUCUAUGCGAGUGUUUGGGUGUAAAACCCGUACGCGUAAUGAAAGUGAACGUAGGUCAGGGCCCCUUUUGGGGUGCACGAUCGACCGAUCCUGAUGUUUUCAGAUGGAUUUGAGUAAGAGCAUAGCUGUUGGGACCCGAAAGAUGGUGAACUAUGCCUGAAUAGGGUGAAGCCAGAGGAAACUCUGGUGGAGGCUCGUAGCGGUUCUGACGUGCAAAUCGAUCGUCAAAUUUGGGUAUAGGGCGAAAGACUAAUCGAACCAUCUAGUAGCUGGUUCCUGCCGA